CAGUAACGGCGAGUGAAGCGGCAACAGCUCAAAUUUGAAAUCUGGCUCCUUCGGGGUCCGAAUUGUAAUUUGUAGAGAGUGCUUCGGGCGAGACCUCGGUCUAAGUCCAUUGGAACAUGGUGUCAUAGAGGGUGAGAAUCCCGUAUGCGACCGUGGCUCGAGCCCAUGUGAAGCCUCUUCGACGAGUCGAGUUGUUUGGGAAUGCAGCUCAAAACGGGUGGUAAAUUUCAUCUAAAGCUAAAUACUGGCUGGAGACCGAUAGCGCACAAGUAGAGUGAUCGAAAGAUGAAAAGCACUUUGGAAAGAGAGUCAAACAGUACGUGAAAUUGUUGAAAGGGAAGCGCUUGCAACCAGACCUGCCCGUAGGCGAUCAGCCGCUGUUCUCAGCGGUGCACUCGCUCUGCGAUCAGGCCAGCAUCGGUUUCGGCGGUCGGAUAAAGGCCUUGGGAAUGUAGCUUCCCUUCGGGGAAGUCUUAUAGCCCUCGGUGCAAUGCGGCCAGCCGGGACCGAGGACCGCGCUUCGGCUAGGAUGCUGGCGUAAUGGUUGUAAGCGACCCGUCUUGAAACACGGACCAAGGAGUCUAACAUCUAUGCGAGUGUUUGGGUGUUAAACCCAUACGCGGAAUGAAAGUGAACGGAGGUGAGAACCCUUAAGGGCGCAUCAUCGACCGAUCCAGAUGUCUUCGGAUGGAUUUGAGUAUGAGCAUAGCUGUUGGGACCCGAAAGAUGGUGAACUAUGCCUGAAUAGGGUGAAGCCAGAGGAAACUCUGGUGGAGGCUCGCAGCGGUUCUGACGUGCAAAUCGAUCGUCAAAUUUGGGUAUAGGGGCGAAAGACUAAUC
Molecule: ribosomal RNA, 840 nt
Filed under: Xanthoparmelia coloradoensis
Lineage: Eukaryota; Fungi; Ascomycota; Lecanoromycetes; Lecanorales; Parmeliaceae
Also listed under: 1 other name
Description: eukaryotic LSU rRNA
Rfam family: Eukaryotic large subunit ribosomal RNA
Source: RNAcentral